UGAAGUGCUUGAAUCUGCACACGGGGUGUAGGGCCAGGGAGUAAAGUGAAUACUCCAACUCAGUGAGUAAUAAUAAUAAAUGCAGACUGAGCAAUAAGAAAUCACAUAAAGGUACAUUGACAGGCUAUAAAGAAGCAGUAAAAGCAAUGAAAAAGUGAAAAUAUGUAAAGUCACUUUAGUUCAGUUUAAGCUUCAUUAAAAAUAUUUUUUUAAUAGUUAAGCAAGUAAAUGACAGGCAACUAGAAAAGAUAAACACAUAAAGUAUUGCCCUCGGGCACAAUACCAACAUAAAUACCCCCCUACCCGACAACACAAAGUACAAUACCAUCCCCUCGGGCUAUAUCUCAUAUAACAAUGGGUACCGCGCUCACUGGGGGUGUACAGACUCCUAGAAUGGCCCCUUACGUCCCAAGAGCAAUAUCAAGCCAUUUCGUGGCAUAAUCAACAGGCCCUCGGCCUCAUAUCAACAAGCCACCUCGUGGCGUACAAUCUCAUACCCUCGACCUCAUAAUCAUAAUCAGUGUAUCACAGCCGCGACGUGCAGCCCAACCCAAACGUAUCCUCACAACACAUACCCUUGUCCUUACUCAAUCAGAAUAUCAUAACCCACUCGGUCAUGAGUAAAACGUGAUGCCUAGCCCAAAUAUCAUUUGCAAAUAUCAUUUAAUGUGUUAAAAGAGAGUAAACAUGGCUGAUUUAUAAAAACAGUAGAACAUAGCAUGACUGAGUGCAAGUAUAAGUCAAAUCAGUGAGAAACUAUUAGUAACAAUCCCGGAAGGAUCCAAAUAGUUAGCGCAAGGCCCAAAUAUGGAAUUCAACCCAAAACAUGAUGAUAGCUAGCAGUUUUCAAUCAAAUAUGCGAUAAAACAGUCAUUCGGGAUGGACUAAGUUAUGAUCCCCAAUGGUGCACGGCCCCACGCUCGUCAUCUAGUAUGUGUGUCACCUCAAUAUAGCACAACGGUGUGAAAUCCGGGGUUUCAUACCCUCAAGACAACACUUACAAUCAUUACUCACCUAAAUCGGGUCCAAACUCUAGCCCGUGACGCCUUUGCCCCUCGAAUCAGCCUCCACUCGCAUUGAAUCUAUCCAAAAUCAGAAUUACGAUGUUAAAAUAUGCUAAGUGAAUGGAGCCCAAGUGAUAUAAUUAAUUUACAACAUAAAUCCCGAAAUUACCAAAAAAGAGACUAAAUAUCUCAAACAUUCUCAAAGCCUUUCCGAACUCGAGCCAACCCGAUCACUUAUAAAACCAAUAAACAAAGCAAUAAGAAACAAAAAUGGAUGAAAUGGAGCGAUAACUCAUGAGACGACUGAUCGGGCCAUCACAAACUUUAUUCACGACGUGAAAUAGGGGAUUAUACUCUUUUUACAUGGAAAGUAUAUCAAUUAACAUAAUAUAUUCCUAAUAUAACUCAAAAACUCAAUUAUAUCACAUAAAAUUUGUAUUUUUUGUUAUAAAAAAGUUUCUCAACCGAAAAAUACCCCAAAAACAUAUUAAUUUUUCGAAAAAUUAUAUAAUACAUCUGAAUACAUAAAUUAUAUUAAUUAAAAAAUAUAUAUGAAUACAUUCAUGGCAUAUAGCGAGAUACGUUAAAAAUACAUUGAAAUAUAUUGACAUAAAAUCAAGUUGCUCAGUCCCAAACCUUGUCGUCUUUGUUCAAGAACAAACCCUAAUUUCUGGUGAAUUGUCAUCGAGCAAUAGUGGCAGAAUAAGGACUCUGUUAAAGCUUGAAUCUUGUAUUGAAUAUGACAGAAGUUGAGAACCUAUAGUUUAUCGCUUCUCCAAUUGGUUUUGGAUAAUGUUGAAGUUCCUGCCAUUGGGAUAAUUAUACCACAAAUCAACAACUUGAAGAUUCCCUUUGGUGUUAUUCAUGAAGAAAAUCGAGUGGAAUUGUUUUGGCCAUGGUGUAGGAAUUGGGUCGCUAGAUUUUGAAGCAUCGAUUAAAGUGAAGAAAAGAGAAGAUGCACUUGGAAGGAUGAGGAGAUCGGAAACCUUAAUGGGAUGGGGGAAGAGAAUGACAUGUAUCAAAGUAGAGAGAGAAAGAAAAUAGUGUAACUGAAUAGUGUAAUUAGUGGCUUAGGGGUAGGAGGUAACCAGAAUUAAAUAUUUUACUAUAAAUAUUAAAAGGUAUCUAUAGAGUAUAAUUUUUAAAUAGUAUUUAUUUAAAAUAAAUAAGAUACUUACCUUGCUACGGGAGAUGAAAAUUUAUUUUUUGAACAUGCUUUGGCAUUGAACCAGCCCUUGUUUUUCAAAAACAAAUGGGCCAGAUUUGUUAUUAGUGAAAAUGGGCCAACUAGUUAGUUGUUUGGCCUUUUAUUGUUGUUAUCGCCAUCUUAUUAAAUACUAAACUAAUACAUUCUGUUCACUUUUACAUUCUUCAUUAAGUCUUUAACAAUUGUUUUUCUACAACAUAAUCAAGAUUCUCAUGAUAUACUACUUAAGAGUUAACAGAGAAAUGCUAAGAGGCAAUAAAUAAAUAAAUAAAAAGUCAUGAAUUUAACAUUACGAUCCAACGCUUGAUUCCAAGAUUGAAAACCUCAACAUUCAUCCAUAUAGUAAAUUUCCUUGCAUAUGCUUCAAAUAAUCUAAACAUGCUCAAAUCCUCAUCAAUUGCUAUACAAAAAAUUGCAUUACAGAGUUUAAUGGUUACCGAGAUCGCAGAAAAUAAUAUAGCAAUGAAGAACGAAAGCUCAACAAUGGAAAACAACAAGAAACAACAGCCAAAUAGCAGCAAAACAAGCAGCAAAUUCGUGUUUAAACAGCCUGAAAACUUUGAGAAGAAAUCCAGAAACAAACUCUAAAGAAGACUCAUAUUUUCUUGAAAGUUUGCACUCUAAGAUUCACUUCCAAAGCUCACCAUUUUAACUUAGUUUCUUUAAGUUCAGCUGCUGAUUUUACUCCUAAAAUUGUAUUUCUUUUUAGUGUGUGUCUCCUCUUCUUCUUCUUUUUUCGUUCUAAAAAUGUAUGUAUUAUAUAUUUAAAACAGCCGGCUAUUUUAUGAUUAAAAAUCUAUCCUUUUUGACAUAUUUAUUCAUAAGAAUCUGCUCUAAAAUCCAAAGUUAAGACUUUCCCGUUCAAUAUUUUCCAAAAGAGAGUAUUUCAACCAAAAUCUGCUCUUCACUAUUCAAAGAUAGACUUUUAUUUAAUAAGUGUCCAAAAGUAUAUAUUUCUUACCAAACAAAUAACUUUUGAGUUUUGUACUCAAAAAAGCCUUGGAGCAGUAAAUAAGCACCCAAACAAGUACCCUAUACUCUCAAGUAUUCCUUCAUUACCUCACUUUCAUCAGUACAAAAUUAUUCUACUACUUCAACAAGUGCAAAAAACAGAAAAUUUAGAAUUACAAUCUUCAAAAAACUAAUGGUGAAAUAAUUAAUAAGAGAUAAAAUAAAAUCUAAAAAACUAAAACUAAAAAUAAAAAAUCAGCAAUACCAAAAAAUAGAAUUUUUACAAUUCAAGUGGCUGAUACAAUGGUGGUAUGUUGAGCGAGGGUGUUCAGGGAGGUCGCCGAAAUUUGAUUGGAUUUUGGUGCCGGAUUCAGGGUAGAAUUGACAUUAAUAACUAGGUCUUGAGGUGCUCUAUUCGUUGAUGUAGGUAUUGUGUGGGUGGGACUGGUCGGAGCUUCAAGAAUUUGGGCAAAGGUGACGGCUAAAGUUUUUUAGAUCUAAGAUUCAAAAAGUUUGAGGUUUUUUUUGAAGGAUUUGGUUUGGAGAUAUGGAAAGAGGAGGUUGCAGAUAUUACAUUGUGUGAAUUUGGAGGUGUUUGGAGGUGGUCCGCCGCCGGUGGGCGAUUUCCGGUGGUGGCGAAGAGGCAACAAAGAGAGAGUGAAGAGAGAGAAAGGAAAAAAGAAUUAUCGGUGAAAAUAGGGAUAAUUUUCAGAUUUUUUAGUCUUUAAA
This 3891-nucleotide long non-coding RNA is filed under the name Nicotiana benthamiana. Its description in RNAcentral is "long non-coding RNA (NBEN_LNC040072)". The record is from RNAcentral. Lineage: Eukaryota; Viridiplantae; Streptophyta; Magnoliopsida; Solanales; Solanaceae.